AACGAACGCUGGCGGCGUGCCUAACACAUGCAAGUCGUGCGAGAAAGUUCCUUCGGGAGCGAGUAAAGCGGCGCACGGGUGAGUAACACGUAGGUAACCUGCCCCCCAGUCUGGAACAACUAGAGGAAACUCUAGCUAAUGCCGGAUGAGACCACGAUCCCCUUCGGGGGUUGCGGCCAAAGAUGGCCUCUACUUGUAAGCUAUCGCUGAGGGAUGGGCCUGCGGCCAUUAGCUUGUUGGUGAGGUAACGGCUCACCAAGGCUGUGAUGGCUAGCUGGUCUGAGAGGAUGACCAGCCACACUGGGACUGAGACACGGCCCAGACUCCUACGGGAGGCAGCAGUGGGGAAUAUUGCGCAAAUGGGCGAAGCCUGACGCAGCGACGCCGC
RNAcentral lists this ribosomal RNA (388 nucleotides) under uncultured bacterium. RNAcentral describes it as "bacterial SSU rRNA". It matches the Rfam family "Bacterial small subunit ribosomal RNA", at positions 29 to 400 of the family's 1533-position model. The record is from RNAcentral.